Molecule: non-coding RNA, 396 nt
Organism: Pelobates cultripes (western spadefoot toad)
Lineage: Eukaryota; Metazoa; Chordata; Amphibia; Anura; Pelobatidae
Source: the annotation of a GenBank genome assembly
GUCCCUGCCGGGAAUUUGUGUUGCUAAUGAGCCCAGGUGGCCAUUAUAUACUUGUCUAGGGACAAAACAUAUUAUGUCCUUCUCUGAGUAGGGAAGGAGACAGACUGAGCUCAGCUGUGCAUACAGAGAGAAGGAGGACAGUUAGUGUGAUAUAACCCCCUCCUCUCCAUCCUCACUCACAAUGUCACUUACCUUCCCAGGCUCAUUUAGCAUCAUCUCAUAGCAUCCUUUGGCUUCAAAAGCUAGCGCUGUGUCGCUCCAAGGCUUCACAAUGCAGAUUUGCUGGCUGAAUCCAGAUAUUAUGGCUAGAAUUCGAGGGAUAUAAACCUAGACAGACUGCUAGCUGUAAAUCUGAUAUGCAGUAUGACAAGGGCUGAAUGCUGAUUCUGUGCUGGU